Non-coding RNA from Chrysemys picta bellii (western painted turtle), 264 nucleotides. Lineage: Eukaryota; Metazoa; Chordata; Testudines; Emydidae. The record is from RefSeq and is a predicted model, not a curated record.
AGAGGUCGCUUCAAACGAUCUGGUGAGGAAUUGCGAGAACCGAGGGCUGCACAUGGCUCACGGCUCAUCCCCAGACGAUGCUGCCUUCUGCACGUUAUUUACCUCCACCUUCAGCGUCUUGGGAGACCCCACCGAAAGGAAGAACUCCAACGUCUCUCUGAAGAAAGCCGCGGAGGGAUUUGCCUCCAUCCUGGAGCAGUCGCCCUCCUGGUCCAACCUGAGCACGAAGCAGCUCUCCGCCAUGGCCACCGUCUUCCUGGAGAA